UAGGGAAUCUUCCGCAAUGGACGCAAGUCUGACGGAGCAACGCCGCGUGAGUGAAGAAGGAUUUCGGUUCGUAAAACUCUGUUGUUAGAGAAGAACAGCGCAUAGAGUAACUGUUAUGCGUGUGACGGUAUCUAACCAGAAAGCCACGGCUAACUACGUGCCAGCAGCCGCGGUAAUACGUAGGUCCCGAGCGUUGUCCGGAUUUAUUGGGUGUAAAGCGAGCGCAGGCGGUUAGAAAAGUCUGAAGUGAAAGGCAGUGGCUCAACCAUUGUAGGCUUUGGAAACUGUUUAACUUGAGUGCAGAAGGGGAGCGUGGAAUUCCAUGUAUAGCGGUGAAAUGCGUAGAUAUAUGGAGGAACACCGGUGGCGAAAGCGGCUCUCUGUUCUGUAACUGACGCUGAGGCUCGAAAGCGUGGGUAGCAAACAGG
RNAcentral lists this ribosomal RNA (428 nucleotides) under Bacteroidota bacterium. RNAcentral describes it as "Bacteroidetes bacterium partial 16S ribosomal RNA". It matches the Rfam family "Bacterial small subunit ribosomal RNA", at positions 355 to 776 of the family's 1533-position model. Lineage: Bacteria; Pseudomonadati; Bacteroidota. The record is from RNAcentral.